UACAGAGGUCCCAAGCGUUGUUCGGAUUCACUGGGCGUAAAGGGUGCGCAGGUGGGCUGGUAAGUUCGAUGUGAAAGCCCCCGGCUUAACCGGGGAAUUGCGCCCUAAACUGACGAGCUGGAGUGGGACAGGGGUGUGUGGAACUUCCGGUGGAGCGGUGAAAUGUGUUGAUAUCGGAAGGAACGCCGGUGGCGAAAGCGACACACUGGGUCUCAACUGACGCUGAGGCACGAAAGCCAGGGGAGCGAACGGG
Molecule: ribosomal RNA, 253 nt
Filed under: uncultured bacterium
Lineage: Bacteria
Description: partial 16S ribosomal RNA
Rfam family: Bacterial small subunit ribosomal RNA
Source: RNAcentral